Molecule: ribosomal RNA, 463 nt
Filed under: bacterium enrichment culture clone TC60a_2055
Lineage: Bacteria
Also listed under: 4 other names
Description: bacterial SSU rRNA
Rfam family: Bacterial small subunit ribosomal RNA
Source: RNAcentral
GACGAACGCUGGCGGCGUGCUUAACACAUGCAAGUCGAGCGAUGAAGCUUCCUUCGGGAAGUGGAUUAGCGGCGGACGGGUGAGUAACACGUGGGUAACCUGCCUCAAAGUGGGGGAUAGCCUUCCGAAAGGAAGAUUAAUACCGCAUAAUAUGAGAGAAUCGCAUGAUUUUCUUAUCAAAGAUUUAUUGCUUUGAGAUGGACCCGCGGCGCAUUAGCUAGUUGGUAAGGUAACGGCUUACCAAGGCAACGAUGCGUAGCCGACCUGAGAGGGUGAUCGGCCACAUUGGAACUGAGACACGGUCCAGACUCCUACGGGAGGCAGCAGUGGGGAAUAUUGCGCAAUGGGGGAAACCCUGACGCAGCAACGCCGCGUGGGUGAUGAAGGUCUUCGGAUUGUAAAGCCCUGUUUUCUGGGACGAUAAUGACGGUACCAGAGGAGGAAGCCACGGCUAACUACGUGC